Helianthus annuus (common sunflower) is the source of this 2919-nucleotide RNA transcript. It is a transcript of the gene named probable serine/threonine-protein kinase DDB_G0271682, with no coding region annotated. The transcript is spliced from 14 exons. NCBI's taxonomy places the organism in Eukaryota, Viridiplantae, Streptophyta, Magnoliopsida, Asterales, Asteraceae. The record is from RefSeq and is a predicted model, not a curated record.
AUGGCGGUUUGACACCAACUUUCAGGCAUAUAUCCACACAACACACGACUCCUCAAUGGAAACCAACAUCAUAUGUUUUUGUCAACCGUCAGACCCAGAUACGCUCCGCCGGAUAAUCCCACCGGCGGCGACAAUUCAUCCAUCUACGAGCUCCUACUGGACCGGUGCCGGAGCUUGGAAGCAAGUUAUGCUAACUUGCAAGAGCAGUUUCAGAUGCUGGAACUUGAGCAGACGUCAUCCGGUAAUCAUGGGAAGGUACAGCAAGAAGAAGUGGGUCCUAUACGGCCCGGUAUGACGUCAUUUUCCGGCUGGAAUAGUGUCCCGGAUGUUUUGCCGGUAGGGUUUUCGUAUAAGAGAGCAUUGGACCAGUUGGGUCAUGCAGUUUAUGUCAGCAAAGCUAUUAAUCGAGAGAUUAUUUACUGGAACCGUUCUGCUGAGAAACUGUUUGGGUAUCAGGAUUAUGAAGCACUUGGUCAAACAGUCUCUGACUUACUUAUAUAUGAUGAGUUUCAUGUAUCUUCAGAGAGGAUUUUGAGAAGAGUAAGGUCUGGUCAAAGCUGGGCUGGUCAAUUCCCUUUCAGAAAAAGGUCAGGUGUGACAUUCAUGGCUUUAGUCAACAAAAGCCCGUUAUAUGAAGAUGAUGAGCUUGUUGGCAUAGUCACAGUUGCAAGUGAUGCAACUAUUUUCAACAAAAUAAAGUCCGAAAACCCGAGGUCAUUCGAUGAGGAUCCUGCAAAUGUUCAAACCAAAAAAAGCGGUAAAAAAUUCAAGAAGAUUCAAUGGCAGCCACCACAACAGUUAUCUUCUUUUGUUUCAAAUCUGACGUCGACGGAUAUAUUGCGAAAAGGUGGCGGAAAUGAUGUGCAUGCGCAAAAUUCAUCCGUUGACAUGGACGGGGACAUUCUAGAAUCUGAAAAUGUGAACAUAGAGAAGCCUCCAAAAGCACCUCCUGUUAAGCGUGGUUUUGGCUAUAAUCUUUGGAAGAAAGCGACCGGAGGUGACAGUGAAGAGAACGGUUUUUCUGUGUCUUCGAAUUAUGCGGCAAAAGUGUUGUCAAAGUUGAAUAUUCAAAGAAGUGGUAACAUACAACCGGAGGGUCCUCCUAUUGAGAUCCCAGCGGCAGCUUACAUGCCGAAUUACCAACAAAGGUAUGCAAAGGGGAACAAACAAGCGCACCCUAAUAUUAUAGAAAAUGGUUAUUCAUUUGAGGCCCUUGAGGGAGAGCAAGAGGAGUGUGUUGAGGUAGCGAAUACAGUUGAUCGGUUGGCGAUUUCAACGUUCCAGUUUACACGAAAAGAAAUGGAGCUUGAGAAUGACAUUAACUCUGCGGUUGACUGUGAAAUUCGAUGGGAAGAUUUAAUUUUCAAGGAAGAGAUUGGCAACGGGUCAUUUGCUCGAGUAUACCGUGGACUUUGGAAUGGAUCGGAUGUGGCGGUUAAAGUUUAUUUUGGUAAUCAAUACAGUGAAAAGGCUUUGCAGGAGUACAAUAAAGAGAUUGAUAUCAUGAAAAGACUCCGUCAUCCGAACGUUUUGCUUUUUAUGGGGUCGGUCUGUUCACAAGAUAAACUUGCCAUUGUUACAGAGUUACUACCCAGGGGAAGCCUUUAUAAUGUUCUUCACAACUGUGGUCAAUCUUUGGAUAUUAGGCGACGUCUAAAAAUGGCUGCGGAUGUUGCAAGAGGUAUGAACUACUUGCACCACAGAAACCCGCCAAUUGUACACAGAGAUCUCAAAUCUUCAAAUCUUCUUGUAGACAAGAACUGGUCGGUUAAGGUUGGGGAUUUCGGUCUUUCAAAAUUGAAGCAUGCAACCUUUUUAUCUGCUAGAUCCGGGGGAGGGACACCUCAAUGGAUGGCACCUGAAGUUCUUCGUAAUGAGCCUUCAAACGAGAAGUCAGAUGUGUUUAGUUUUGGCAUAAUACUAUGGGAACUAGUCACACAAAGUGUCCCUUGGAGCCAGGGGCGGACUUAGUAUAGUCGUAGGCGUAGCCCGGGCUACGGCUCAACUUUUAAGCGGUAGUGUAAAAAAAAAAGAAUUUUUCCGAUUUUUAUACUAAGGAUACCCCUCAACCGCUACUAGGACACCCCUCAAAAAAAAAAAUUUAGAAACUGAUAUUAAGCCCAAAUUAAUUGCCAAUAUUAAUUCAUAAAGCCUAGCACAAAUGUGAUAUGCUCAAUAUUGAUUCGUUAAUCUAAAUACUAAUAACUUAAAGAGUAAAAUGCACGGAUAGUCCCCGUGGUUUUGCAAAAUAACAUCUAUAGUCCCCAACUUUUGGAAAUUACACCGGUGCUCCCUCUGGUUUGACAGUUUGUUACUCGGAUAGUCCCUGGAGUGGAUGAUGGUUAGUUUUCUCUGUUAAGUGGAUGUGAAAUGACAAAUUUACCCUUCAUCUUCUCCACUCUAUAAAACAAAACAAUCCCACCCACCCCCGCCUUUCUCUCCGUCUCCCCCCACCAUUAAUCACGUUCUUCCUUAUGUUAACAAGCUUCGUGAUUAUCAGAACAGAGGUCAAAACACUGUUUUCUUUGAUGGGCAGGUGAAAUUCUUGGAUUAUUCAUUCAUUAUUAUCGUUUUUUCGCAAACAAGCGAUUACAUAAAUGUUGCAGGACCGGCUAGCUAAGGUGGUCUCUUUUGUAUCAUCAUUGCUGGAUGACAUAAGCCUAUUCUAAUAAUAGCUUCUUCCAGUGCUCUUUCCUUGUGGGAAACCGAGUUUUCAAUGUGGUCAAAGACGAUCACUAUUGUAACAUACAAAGGGACCAAAGAUAUUGCCAUUAAAGAUUUAGAGUGUCAAGUCCUUUCAUCUUCUCCGGAUGCCAUCUUUGAGGUGGUAGGAGUUGUGGGUUUCAUGGACCGUCGAUUGGAUUUACCCGAAGACCUAGAUCCAUCUCUCUCAUCUAUCAUUCAAGAUUGUUGGCAAAG